Ochotona princeps (American pika) is the source of this 1045-nucleotide long non-coding RNA. RefSeq lists it as uncharacterized. NCBI's taxonomy places the organism in Eukaryota, Metazoa, Chordata, Mammalia, Lagomorpha, Ochotonidae. The record is from RefSeq and is a predicted model, not a curated record. The transcript is spliced from 4 exons.
GCCAGCAAUUUCCUAGAUAGAGGCUGUCCUGGCUGGAAUCAGCUGAACUUGAUCAGACAAGUGCACCCUGGGCACCUGCCAAGGAGCGGGACUGCUGGUCCCAGAGACUGAGUAUGUGAAAUGUGACCGAUACAUUGUCUUGUGGUAAUGGCUGUGGGUGUGAAUUCUGUGGCUACGGAGCCGAAUGACUUGGGUGAAGUGAAAGAAGUCUAGAAUCAUCUCUCAGUGAAAAUGUGUGCCAUGAAAUGCAUUUGAGUUCUAGCCCCCUGCACGGCAGCCUGCUUCCUGCACAGGAUUCCUCAAGGGCAAAGGAGGCGGAGCCCGGCGCAAGGGUACUGCAGCUCCAGCGCUUGGUGGGACAAGGCCAUGGUGCAUCCCGAGGGUCGCCGGGGAGGCAAUGCCGCAAGGGAAACGUCUUGGCUCUGUGGAUGAAUCCUGCCAGAGAAAGGCAAUGCGGACAUUGAUCUGUGGGCCACUCAGGCCGGCUGCAGGGACAUGCUGUCUUGAGUGUAUGGAACAGAAGCCUGUAGGUAGAUCUUAGCAGUAUUGGAGGAUAUUGUUGCCAGGGUUUUGACUUUUCAUAUUGUGAGCAACUCAAUAAAUGGAAUGAAAGACAAAAUUCUGACUGAAUGCAGAAGAGUGCCAUGCCUUGACCAAUGAUGAGUGUUCUGGGGUGUCUGAAUCAAUGAUUUUGAUUAAACCCCGUAACUCUGAGGUUCCAAGAACAGGCCAAGUGAAUGCUUAAUAGUAAAAGCAGAAGUUAGGAAUAUUCAGGAUUUUGUUCAUAGGCUAGUAAGUAAGCUUCACUAUUAUGUAUAAAUUAAUAGAUGAGUAAUUAAAUCAACAUAUAAAUGAGUGAAGACAAGUUGAACCAUAUGUGACCUAAUUGUGAAGAGUGUGUAAUAUAUUCAUAUUGUUAGUGCAGUUCUGAAACAGUCUGUUCCAACACAAGCUGAUUAAUUGUGAUGCCCGUUUGAAUAGGGAGCACACUGAGAACAAGUAUUUAGAAAUCUGUGUUUUUGCUCUGUACUGUGUAAGUGGCGCC